CAGCAGCCGCGGUAAUACGUAGGGUGCAAGCGUUAAUCGGAAUUACUGGGCGUAAAGCGUGCGCAGGCGGUUCGGAAAGAAAGAUGUGAAAUCCCAGAGCUUAACUUUGGAACUGCAUUUUUAACUACCGGGCUAGAGUGUGUCAGAGGGAGGUGGAAUUCCGCGUGUAGCAGUGAAAUGCGUAGAUAUGCGGAGGAACACCGAUGGCGAAGGCAGCCUCCUGGGAUAACACUGACGCUCAUGCACGAAAGCGUGGGGAGCAAACAGGAUUAGAUACCCUGGUAGUCCACGCCCUAAACGAUGUCAACUAGCUGUUGGGGYYUAUUARCCUUAGUAGCGCAGCUAACGCGUGAAGUUGACCGCCUGGGGAGUACGGUCGCAAGAUUAAAACUCAAAGGAAUUGAC
RNAcentral lists this ribosomal RNA (405 nucleotides) under uncultured Alcaligenaceae bacterium. RNAcentral describes it as "bacterial SSU rRNA". It matches the Rfam family "Bacterial small subunit ribosomal RNA", at positions 509 to 914 of the family's 1533-position model. The record is from RNAcentral. Lineage: Bacteria; Pseudomonadati; Pseudomonadota; Betaproteobacteria; Burkholderiales; Alcaligenaceae.